RNAcentral lists this ribosomal RNA (700 nucleotides) under Didymium infundibuliforme. Its description in RNAcentral is "SSU rRNA". It matches the Rfam family "Eukaryotic small subunit ribosomal RNA", at positions 928 to 1616 of the family's 1831-position model. Lineage: Eukaryota; Evosea; Eumycetozoa; Physariida; Didymiaceae. The record is from RNAcentral.
UUGCAAGUCGACCAAAGGCGAAAGCAGUCAUCAAGGGCAUUCCCGUUGAUCAAGAGCGAAAGUUAAGGGUUCGAAGACGAUCAGAUACCGUCGUAGUCUUAACUAUAAAUGAUACUGACUAGGGAUAGGACUCUGUCCAUCUCGACUUCUCCCGGACCUUAGAGAAAUCAAAGUCUUUGAGUUCCGGGGGGAGUAUGGUCGCAAGGCUGAAACUUAAAGGAAUUGACGGAAGGGCACACAAAGAGUGGAACCUGCGGCUUAAUUUGACUCAACACGGGAAAACUCACCAGGUCCAGAUACGCGUAUGAAGGACAAGCUGAAAGACUUUUCUCAAUGACGUAAGUGGUGGUGCAUGGUCGUUCUUAGUUCGUGGAGUGAUUUGUCUGGUUUAUUCCGAUAACGAGCGAGACCCCGGCGUUCCUAAUAGGGGCGGAAGCCCGGCUCGCGGCCCUCGGGUCGCUUGCUAGCAUCCGCCUCGCAAUCGCUUCUUAGACGGAUCAGAGCCGAUAAGGUUCUUGAAAUGGGUUAAUAACAGGUCAGUCAUGCCCUUAGAUGUUCUGGGCCGCACGCGCGUUACAAUGGUAGGCUUAAAGAGUGCCUUUUGCGGGCGUUUCCGCGGCCGACGGGUCGCGGUAACCCCUAGUCUCUCCCUUGACUGGGCCAGACUAUUGCAAUUAUUGGUCUCAAACGAGAAUUUUAG